Molecule: non-coding RNA, 73 nt
Organism: Parelaphostrongylus tenuis
Lineage: Eukaryota; Metazoa; Nematoda; Chromadorea; Rhabditida; Metastrongylidae
Source: the annotation of a GenBank genome assembly
GCCUCGAUGGUGUAGUGGUAGAGCAUGCCUCCCCGGAUACGAUGAAACGCAGGUUCAGUUCCCGCCUGAGGCC